RNAcentral lists this ribosomal RNA (451 nucleotides) under uncultured bacterium. RNAcentral describes it as "partial 16S ribosomal RNA". It matches the Rfam family "Bacterial small subunit ribosomal RNA", at positions 354 to 796 of the family's 1533-position model. The record is from RNAcentral.
GUGGGGAAUAUUGGACAAUGGGGGGAACCCUGAUCCAGCCAUGUCGCGUGUGUGAAGAAGGCCUUUUGGUUGUAAAGCACUUUAAGCGAGGAGGAGGCUACCGAGAUUAAUACUCUUGGAUAGUGGACGUUACUCGCAGAAUAAGCACCGGCUAACUCUGUGCCAGCAGCCGCGGUAAUACAGAGGGUGCAAGCGUUAAUCGGAUUUACUGGGCGUAAAGCGCGCGUAGGUGGCCAAUUAAGUCAAAUGUGAAAUCCCCGAGCUUAACUUGGGAAUUGCAUUCGAUACUGGUUGGCUAGAGUAUGGGAGAGUAUGGUAGAAUUCCAGGUGUAGCGGUGAAAUGCGUAGAGAUCUGGAGGAAUACCGAUGGCGAAGGCAGCCAUCUGGCCUAAUACUGACACUGAGGUGCGAAAGCAUGGGGAGCAAACAGGAUUAGAUACCCUGGUAGUCC